RNAcentral lists this transfer RNA (74 nucleotides) under Podarcis lilfordi (Lilford's wall lizard). Its description in RNAcentral is "tRNA.Lys". The stretch from base 6 to 63 matches the Rfam family "tRNA", at positions 8 to 63 of the family's 71-position model. From Rfam's summary of the family: Transfer RNA (tRNA) molecules are approximately 80 nucleotides in length. Their secondary structure includes four short double-helical elements and three loops (D, anti-codon, and T loops). The record is from RNAcentral. Lineage: Eukaryota; Metazoa; Chordata; Lepidosauria; Squamata; Lacertidae.
UGGGAUAGUGCAGUCGAUAGAGCAUGAGACUCUUAAUCUCAGGGUUGUGGGUUCGAGCCCCACAUUGGGCAAAA